GCUUGCUAGGGCUUGGACAAAGGACACGAGUUCGACGUCCGUGUGGCGCACGAGACUUCACACCUUGCUACUACUACCCCUCGAGAGCCGGGACCCAGCGUGCCGGCGGACGAUCGCGGUAAGGGCAUCGCGCCCUAGAUAGAGACCGCCCGAGUUGUUCAUUUACCUUAGUUGCAUACCCUUUAUUAUAUUAUCUUUUGUACCUCGAUGACGAACUUACCUUAAUGAAUGAUGUAAGGCAUAUUUACUUUAAAUGUCAAAAGUUAUAUUUUGGAUGAAAUGAGAUGUAAAAAGAAAUGAUGCAAAGUUGUAAUAGAUUCUAUAAGUGUAGUUGUUUACUUUCACUCUUGGCUAUUGCUUGCCCUUG
This is a long non-coding RNA of Ananas comosus (pineapple), 367 nucleotides long. RefSeq lists it as uncharacterized. The record is from RefSeq and is a predicted model, not a curated record. The transcript has 3 exons. Lineage: Eukaryota; Viridiplantae; Streptophyta; Magnoliopsida; Poales; Bromeliaceae.